CGGGUCGGCCGGGCCGUCGCGGCGGUGCGGAUCAGCUCCGAGCCGCCGAGGAACGUCCGGACACCGCAGGGCAGGAUGGUGGGUAACGCCCACUCGGGGUGACCCGCAGGCCAGUGCCACAGAGAGCAGACCGCCCGCUCGGCUCCCGCAGGGGAGUCGGACGGGUAAGGGUGAAACGGUGGUGUAAGAGACCACCAGCGCGGCAGGUGACUGCCGCGGCUCGGCAAACCCCAUCCGGUGCAAGGCCGAACAGGGUGCGUGAUCAGGGCUGCCCGCCCGAGCACCCGGGUUGGCCGCUCGAGGCCCGCGGAGACGCGGAGCCCAGAUGGAUGGCGGUCCCCGCCCGCAGCGCCGCAAGGUGCGGGCGGGACAGAAUCCGGCGUACAGGCCGGCCCGUCCC
This 400-nucleotide RNase P RNA is filed under the name Nesterenkonia sp. Its description in RNAcentral is "RNase P RNA component class A". It matches the Rfam family "Bacterial RNase P class A". Rfam says of the family: Ribonuclease P (RNase P) is a ubiquitous endoribonuclease, found in archaea, bacteria and eukarya as well as chloroplasts and mitochondria. Its best characterised activity is the generation of mature 5'-ends of tRNAs by cleaving the 5'-leader elements of precursor-tRNAs. Lineage: Bacteria; Bacillati; Actinomycetota; Actinomycetes; Micrococcales; Micrococcaceae. The record is from RNAcentral.